Molecule: long non-coding RNA, 415 nt
Filed under: Crocodylus porosus (Australian saltwater crocodile)
Lineage: Eukaryota; Metazoa; Chordata; Crocodylia; Crocodylidae
Description: lncRNA (ENSCPRG00005017584.1)
Source: RNAcentral
CCGCUCCGCCGGCGGAGAGGGGCGCGGAGGGGGAAGAGGCGUGCGGAGAAGGGAGAAGGCAGCAGGGGCAGGCGGAGAGAAAAGGGGAGAGAGAGGGGACAGAGAGAAAGAAAGGAAAGGCACAGAUAGGAAGAGGGAGCAAGGAAAGGCAGAUUAACAGGACGAAAGAGGGACAAGGGAGAAGAGGGGGGAGAGAGAAAGGAAAGAGAGGUUAACGCGAAGAAAGACGGAGGGACGCACACAUGGACGGCAAGAAAGAGCCAUCUGUCAUCAGAGGCAGGCAGGGGCAGAGCGAUGGCUUAGGAAGAGCCCGGGGGGGAGGAGACCCCCGGGCACUACUUUGCUGCCCCAGGAAGAGAAAAUCCAUUCAGGACAAACUCUUCUUCAUUAUGAAUUUCCAAAAGAGAGAGAAACU